AACGAACGCUGGCGGCAUGCCUAACACAUGCAAGUCGAACGAAACCUUCGGGCCUAGGUGCGCACGGGUGCGUGCCACCUGGGAAGCUACCCUUAGGUUCGGAAUAACUCACUGAAAGAUGAGCUAAUACCGGAUGGUCUAAUACGUCCAAAGAUUUAUCGCCUCAGGAUGGGCCCGCGUAGGUUUCGGUAGUUGGUGAUGUACAAGCACACCAAGGCGACGAUCCUUGGCUGGUCGGAGAGCAUGAUCAGCCACACUGGGACUGCGACCCGGCCCAGACUGCUACGGGACGCAGCAGUGGGUUAUAUUGGGCACGGGGCGCAAGUGUGGUCAAGCAGUGCCGCGUGAGUGAUGAAGGCCUUAGUGUUGUACAUCUCCUUGUGCCGGGAUGAUAAUGACAGUACCGGGAGAAUAAGCUCCGGCUAACUCCGUG
RNAcentral lists this ribosomal RNA (433 nucleotides) under uncultured bacterium. RNAcentral's name for it is "partial 16S ribosomal RNA". It matches the Rfam family "Bacterial small subunit ribosomal RNA", at positions 29 to 507 of the family's 1533-position model. The record is from RNAcentral.